RNAcentral lists this ribosomal RNA (123 nucleotides) under Notechis scutatus (mainland tiger snake). The record is from RNAcentral. Lineage: Eukaryota; Metazoa; Chordata; Lepidosauria; Squamata; Elapidae.
GUUUAAAACUGUACAUGUCUCAGCAGGUGGCAGUAGCUGUCUGUCUGGGUUGGAAGCUAAGCAUAGUCAGCCCUGGUUGCUAUUUAGAUGGGAAACUACUAGGGAAUCCCGGGAGUUUAGGCU